AAAUUAGACGAGAAAACAAAUCUAUUCUAUAUUUUUAAUAUCCCCAUUGUUUUUCUUUCAAGCAAUUCGAAGAGACGUUAUAAUAUUUGAAGUACUACCCUUAAACAAAGAAAACAGAAUACUCCUCGGUGUUAGGGUAAUGAAAUCAAGAUGUCCUAGAGCUAUGUCCGAUGAAUGUCCGAAUUUUCCUCCGCUAUGCCUUGUUGUCCGAGAGCUAGGCCUGCAAAAGAGAGAGAAGGUAUACUGCCCCGGGGGUGUGACCCGGGAAAGCCCCUCCGAUGCUUAAGUCAACGAAUGUACUUUCUAGAGAGAGAAAGUAAAGAGAGAAAGAGUACUUUAGAGAGAGAAAGUAGAGAGAGAAGAUUAGAGAAUUAGGAAAAAGUUACCAUCAAUUAAUUAUUGGAGAGCUAUUUAUAGAUGUACAUUCAUGUGGCAGAAGUUGUACUUGUUUGGACAGAUCAGGGGUAAAUUCGUACUUUACUA
Molecule: long non-coding RNA, 483 nt
Organism: Chenopodium quinoa (quinoa)
Lineage: Eukaryota; Viridiplantae; Streptophyta; Magnoliopsida; Caryophyllales; Amaranthaceae
Exons: 2
Source: RefSeq, a predicted model, not a curated record